AUUGAACGCUGGCGGCAUGCUUUACACAUGCAAGUCGAACGGUAACAGGCCGCAAGGUGCUGACGAGUGGCGCACGGGUGAGUAAUGCAUCGGAACGUGCCCAGUCGUGGGGGAUAACUACUCGAAAGAGUAGCUAAUACCGCAUACGAUCUAUGGAUGAAAGCGGGGGACCGUAAGGCCUCGCGCGAUUGGAGCGGCCGAUUUCAGAUUAGGUAGUUGGUGGGGUAAAGGCUCACCAAGCCAACGAUCUGUAGCUGGUCUGAGAGGACAACCAGCCACACUGGGACUGAGACACGGCCCAGACUCCUACGGGAGGCAGCAGUGGGGAAUUUUGGACAAUGGGCGCAAGCCUGAUCCAGCAAUGCCGCGUGCAGGAAGAAGGCCUUCGGGUUGUAAACUGCUUUUGUACGGAACGAAACGGCUCUGGUUAAUACCCGGGGCUAAUGACGGUACCGUAAGAAUAAGCACCGGCUAACUACGUG
Molecule: ribosomal RNA, 482 nt
Filed under: uncultured bacterium
Lineage: Bacteria
Description: partial 16S ribosomal RNA
Rfam family: Bacterial small subunit ribosomal RNA
Source: RNAcentral